Long non-coding RNA from Perognathus longimembris pacificus (Pacific pocket mouse), 1509 nucleotides. RefSeq lists it as uncharacterized. The record is from RefSeq and is a predicted model, not a curated record. The transcript is spliced from 3 exons. NCBI's taxonomy places the organism in Eukaryota, Metazoa, Chordata, Mammalia, Rodentia, Heteromyidae.
CUGUGUGUGUGUGUGUGAAAAGGGUGAGAAGGCUUACAAAGGUUUUGGGAGUUCAUAUUCCAUCCUACCUACUUAGACUUAAGGUAUCUAGGCAAUGACAUCUCUGGGAUUCAUCCCUUACUCCCCUUAAAAAAAAACUCACUUACAGACAUUUUUUUAAAUAAUGUGAUUGUCUGAAGGGUGUCCUGAGUUUGUUUAGCAGAUGGGAAUUCUGAGUUCUUCUAUGACUUAAUUUACAUAAAAGGAUCUAUACUUUUUUCUUACAUUGAGUUGAUAUUAGGAGAGUCUAAGGUUCUGAGUCAAGCAGAUCUGGAUCCAAAUCAAGCUUCAUUUAUUGGCUCAGGUAUCUCGGGCAGAUUACUCCAUAAUUUCCAUAGCUAUAGAAAAAGCACAUUGUGCCUGGUAGGGUGAUGGAGAGAGAGAGAAGCAUUUGUAUGAGAAUGCAUAUAAAGUGCUUAUCUUAGUGUCUGGAACCCAUCAUUAAAACUCUUCACCCUGUGUUAGCUAUUCACUCGUGUUUUCAUUAGUUAUAAUAGGCUGAAAUCUGUGGAGGUUUAAGAGAAACUGAAAUCAGGAUGGGUUUGUUGAGAUCCUUGGCAAAAACUGGCCAGCAGUGGCCCAAGCUUGAGCAGCUUUCUCUGGAGGAGCCUGGAGAAGAGAGGGCUUUGUGUAGCUGAGGUCAGCAGACACGCUGGUGCCUAUUGUAACAAUGAAGGUCUAAGGCAUUAGGACCAAAGCACUGGGAUUUCAAACCAGAUCAAGCCCCUGAAAGCUAAGGGGGGAAUUUCACGCCCACUCAGGGGACCACCUACUUGUUCAAGGAAUGAGUUACCAAAAUGGGACAAAGGUGCUGUGGGGUGAAACUCAACCCUGAGGCAUUCUGAUCACUGCCAAAUCCCCGUGGAGCGCUCAGUAUGGGGUUCAGGUUUCCCUCUCUCCAUCCCAAAUGAUUGGCCUUGCACCUGGCACCAUCUAUAGAACUGCCUUUCCCCUGAGACACUGACCAUUUUAUAGCAAGAGAAAGGGGUGAGUUCUUGCAUUAGGCUUUCUCAUCAUUUCUGUAAUGUAGGUCUGAAGCUCCCUCCUGCAGUCUUGGCAGGUUCCCUGUAUCUGGGCUGCUGCUGACAUGCACUGGAUCUCCCUGAUAGGCCUGAAGAUUGGUAUACACCUGUCUGCUUUGUCCCUACAAAAGGCUUAUGAAAAAUGGGUGUUAUUAACACACAGGGUCUCUUGGAAGUGAAGGGACUCUGACAAGGUAAAUAACUUGGAUUCAAAUACAGAAUCUAUUUUACUGUAUUCAGCAUUUUGGGUUGCCAGCACCUCCUGUUCUUAGUGGACCCCUGGCCCACUACUAGAUCAAACUAUUGGAGACUCUGGGGCCUAAAUUCAGCAGUUGCAUGAAUUCAAAUUCAGGUUCUAAUUUAUUUUACACUGCAACUGCCAGACAUAUGUGCUGGUUCCAGAGGAGGAACCUAGAGGGAGGUAACUUGCCCAUAUGUGUGUGUAAUU